GCCGGGCGUGGUGGUGCAUGCCUGUAGUCCCAGCUACUUGGGAGGCUGAGGCAGAAGAAUCGCUUGAACCCAGGAGAUGGAGGUUGCAGUGAGCUGAGAUCGCGCCAUUGCAUUCCAGCCUGGGUAACAAGAGUGAAACUCUGUCUCUA
This 149-nucleotide non-coding RNA is filed under the name Pan troglodytes (chimpanzee). The record is from Rfam by way of RNAcentral. Lineage: Eukaryota; Metazoa; Chordata; Mammalia; Primates; Hominidae.